Molecule: ribosomal RNA, 253 nt
Filed under: uncultured bacterium
Lineage: Bacteria
Description: partial 16S ribosomal RNA
Rfam family: Bacterial small subunit ribosomal RNA
Source: RNAcentral
UACGUAGGGUCCGAGCGUUGUCCGGAAUUAUUGGGCGUAAAGGGCUCGUAGGCGGUCCGUCACGUCGGGAGUGAAAACUCAGGGCUCAACCCUGAGCGUGCUUCCGAUACGGGCGGACUAGAGGUAUGCAGGGGAGAACGGAAUUCCUGGUGUAGCGGUGAAAUGCGCAGAUAUCAGGAGGAACACCAAUGGCGAAGGCAGCUCGCUGGGACGUAACUGACGCUGAGACGCGAAAGCGUGGGGAGCAAACAGG